AGGAAUACAUCGGAAUCUGCCUUGUUGUGGGGGAUAACGUAGGGAAACUUACGCUAAUACCGCAUAAGACCUUAGGGUGAAAGCGGAGGACCUUCGGGCUUCGCGCGACAAGAUGAGCCGAUGUCGGAUUAGCUAGUUGGCGGGGUAAUGGCCCACCAAGGCGACGAUCCGUAGCUGGUCUGAGAGGAUGAUCAGCCACACUGGAACUGAGACACGGUCCAG
This 222-nucleotide ribosomal RNA is filed under the name uncultured bacterium. RNAcentral describes it as "partial 16S ribosomal RNA". It matches the Rfam family "Bacterial small subunit ribosomal RNA", at positions 109 to 334 of the family's 1533-position model. The record is from RNAcentral.